CCGCCGCCGCCGCCCGGGAGCCAGACAUCGCCGGCACUCCGAGCCGGGCAGCCCCGCCGGGCCGCGCAGCCCGCCGCGGAGCUCUCGUUGCCGCCACACUCGACGCGAGAGGCCGCUCCGAGCCCCCCGCUUGCUCUUGGAUCCCACCGGAGAAUUUUAGGAUCCUCCACCGAGGCGGCGCGGCGAUUUACAGGCGGGCGACGGACAGCCCUAGGAGCGCGACGGAGCCGUGAAAGCCCCUGAGGGGCCUUCCGAGGUUCGGGCGCCUCCUAGCGACGUCUGAAGAGCGCGGCUCCUCAGGCUGCGGGGCGGAGUGAAGACUCGCGAGAUGAGGAGCGCGCGUUGUUGGCGCCUCCUGCUGAGGCGCGGCGUGAAGAGCGCGGGCGGACCGAAGGGCGAAGGGAAGGCAGCGCAAAAUCGUCCGUAUGCUCGAGUCUCUGCUCAAGUCCCCGCUCCGAGAGAAGCUCCAAGUUUGUUUGAAGUACUGGAAAGAACUGCAGCUCUCUGGCCAGCCUAUACCAAUACAUACAAAGACAAUUUUGUGUUACAGCAGAAGGUUGGGAGAUACCCAGAAACAGGAAUACUCACAGUUUUCACUUCCAGGUAUGCCUCCAGACCAUAUUCUCCCAGCUCUCUCCCAUUCCCAGAUGCCUUGUAGCCACCAAAUGGAGCUUGUGCACCAAACACAUUAUAGCAGUUUAUCCUGAAAAAGAAACCAAGAGUUAAGAACCUCUUGUUUACCCUUGUAAGGGUAAUGCAAGAGCUCUUUCACAGCAAAUGUCUGUUUACAGCAGAGGGAUGGCUGAAUUUCUGGGCACAAUUUCCAUAUUUGUUAGUUAUCUUAGUCAGCAGUUACUCAGUACUGGAAGUUUAUCUUCAUCGACCAGGAAACAGAACACCAUGAAAUUAGCUCACAUCUUGCAUCACAUAACCAAGAGUCUGGGUUGCUAUCCAAAACUCUGAAGGACAUGUGAUUAAAACAAAAAUGAUACAAGGUUUGCCCAUUGUCCUUAAAUAAAUGAAAUAGUGAGAUGCUGGGUCUCCAAAAUCCCCUGUGUGAACUGUGGCAAAGUCCUGACUUAGGCAUAAUUUUCAGCAUGGCUUCAGAAUACAGAAUAGUAUCUGAGCAGAGCCCAGAUUGUACAGAUGUGCUCGAUGGUCUGAUCACUGCUGGCACCAGAGCCCUGUAGCAGCUGCUGACAUUGUCAGCUGCAGCACUGAGCUUCUUUUCCCCCCACCCCAUUUGCUAAUUCACAGUGGGAGAACAGAAGCUUAUUAGAGCUAAAUUGUACCAAAAAUCAGCAUUGCAGCUGAAGGUCUGACAUUACAUUCUGUGAGGAUCCAAAGCAGACAGAGGCUAUCAAACAGCAAGCUUGAUGGGAAAUGAGAGCACAAGAAAGCUUCUAGCAGUUUAAGGAGAAGGAGCUGACAAGGCUUACCAGACUGUUCCAGCUCGCAGGGCCUGAGACACGUAGUUUGCCUUGUCAAUAUCCUUUGUAAAGACUGCUGCUGCUAGACCAUACUUGGUGUUAUUUGCUCUCUCAAUUAUUUCCUCAAUUGUUUUGAAC
Long non-coding RNA from Tympanuchus pallidicinctus (lesser prairie-chicken), 1568 nucleotides. RefSeq lists it as uncharacterized. The transcript is spliced from 2 exons. The record is from RefSeq and is a predicted model, not a curated record. Lineage: Eukaryota; Metazoa; Chordata; Aves; Galliformes; Phasianidae.